UGGGGGAUAUUGCACAAUGGGCGAAAGCCUGAUGCAGCGACGCCGCGUGGGGGAUGAAGGCCUUCGGGUUGUAAACUUCUUUUGCUCUGAACAAGGCAUGCUAAUGGGUGUGUUGAGUGUAGGGGUUGAUUAGCGCCGGCUAACUACGUGCCAGCAGCCGCGGUAAUACGUAGGGCGCGAGCGUUGUCCGGAAUUAUUGGGCGUAAAGGGCUUGUAGGUGGCUGGUUGCGUCUGUCGUGAAAGCUCAUGGCUUAACUGUGGGUUGGGGGUGGGUAGGGGCUGGCUUGAGUGCAGUAGGGGAGGCUGGAAUUCCUGGUGUAGCGGUGGGAUGCGCAGAUAUCAGGAGGAAUACCGGUGGCGAAGGCGGGUCUCUGGGCUGUUACUGACACUGAGGAGCGAAAGCAUGGGGAGCGAACAGG
This 419-nucleotide ribosomal RNA is filed under the name bacterium. RNAcentral describes it as "partial 16S ribosomal RNA". It matches the Rfam family "Bacterial small subunit ribosomal RNA", at positions 355 to 776 of the family's 1533-position model. The record is from RNAcentral.